AUGGAUUUGAGAUUUGUAUACCGUGAAGGUUAUUGGAAGAACUCAAGGGAAAUGCGACUAUUCACAUGCAAAUGGUUGCCUAUUUCUUCUUCUCCCAAGGCUCUUAUUUUCCUUUGUCAUGGUUCAAUUCCAUCUCUUUACUCUUUUCAAUCUCUUCAUUAUUUGGUGUUGUGUAAUGUAAUUAAAUUAAUGCUGGUAUUGUUGAUUGUUUAUUGUAGGCUAUGGAAUGGAAUGCAGUAG
Molecule: long non-coding RNA, 240 nt
Filed under: Vicia faba (fava bean)
Lineage: Eukaryota; Viridiplantae; Streptophyta; Magnoliopsida; Fabales; Fabaceae
Source: RNAcentral